CUACACGGAGUAGAAGAUCAAGAUGUAGAAUGAUCCAGCACCCUGGACACAAGAGAUUUUAAUCACAUACAAUGCCAUUGACGAAGAGCAGCACGAAGACAAUGUCAAGAUUGGUGACGAGAUGGAGUUGCUUGCAUCACACUCCGUGCACGACGAAGACGGCGAGACCCGCGCUCAACGAAACCACAGCCGUCACAGAAACACGUCCUAGCAACAACAGGCGUCUCAACCACCGGUGCCCCUAUUCGGAGGAGGCCAUGUCAGGAGAGGUUGGCACUACCACGGCCGUUCCUUCAUGUGACACAGGCACCGAUGGACCAUGAGCCGUCUAUCACUUUUCGUGCUUUGUAAUCUUGUUGUGUCGGUGGGCUACCACCUCCUAUCUGUUCGACCUCAGUUAAGGGCCCCCCUGCAAGUAGCCUCCCACUAGAAUGCACAUCAUUUUUUACACAUUCUAGUAGAUAUUGCUCGCGCCAUUACCCCAAACUACAAAUUCACGUGGAAGGAAAGUACCAUUCUUGUGUUUGUCGCUUUCCCUUUGCCUCCUAAUCGUAUGUGUCUACUAUGAUUUUGUAGUUUCGAUUCAUCAUCUCCUAAGUUCAUGUGCUCAGCAUAAUUACUACAUUAUGAAAAUCUUCAAUUGGAUAAUUAAGUUGCACCGAAGUGUAAAGUCUUGUGGAACGAGAGAUGACUCGC
RNAcentral lists this long non-coding RNA (696 nucleotides) under Hordeum vulgare. RNAcentral's name for it is "long non-coding RNA (HVUL_LNC017515)". Lineage: Eukaryota; Viridiplantae; Streptophyta; Magnoliopsida; Poales; Poaceae. The record is from RNAcentral.